GUGCUGUGAAUGGGUGAUUGGAAGGAGGCCACUUUAACUCUUGACUUGAUUAUUGCUCUGGAUUUGUCGAAACCGUCAAAAGGUAACGUCAUUGGUGUUGGAUCUUUGAUAGACGGGUUUAGAGAACCAGAUAGAAUUCUAGGAACACACAGAGGGUGUUCUUUAUAGUUUCGGCAUGGCUCCCCGUCGGGGAAUCAAACCCCGGUCUCCCGCGUGACAGGCGGGGAUACUUACCACCAGACUAAACAUAGCUGUUGUCAUCACAAUGAAACUCAAUUGUGGCUUUGAGUUGGAUGGGCAUCUGGAAAGCCCAUCGAGUGAAUUGGAUUGGUUAGUGAAGAAGAGGAAAAUAAUUGAAAAGCUGUUGGAAGUAAAGUUGCUGACUAUCACUCCUCCAAGAGCUGCUUGUAUUUGACAAAUAUUGGAAGAGGUCAAUCGAAAGGUUGAUGAAGAUUUGGCGGUCAACGCAGAAAGGAAACGACUCGACCUGCUCCUAGAGAGCCUUAAAAAGGAACGCAUUAACUUGAAACAUAGGAGUGAAAAACGAUCAUCAUCGAAACUUUUGGUUGUAUCUGGAGGUGGAAAUUCGACGGGGACAUUGGAACGUCAACCAAGGCCGAUGGAACCUCAAGAGAGGCCGAUGGAGCCGACGUUGAAGCUGUUGAAAAUGCUGCCGCCGCCACUGGAAUUACCGUGGCGUCUAUUGGAGUCUGCGUCAAGGCCAUUUGAUCCACAUCGAUCAUGUGAAUCGACAUUGAUAUCUGGUCCUUCAGAAUCGGCAUUGGAAUCAUUCGAAUCUCGACCGGUUGUGGGGAAAACUUGCUAUGAAGCAGAGCUGGUAACAAAACUGAAGUUUGAAGCUAUUGGACCACCAUGCGCGGCUUUUUUCCCUCAAUUGGGGAUGAAAACAUCUAUUCCAGAAAAAAUGUUUGUUCGCCCAAUAACCAUGGAUCUAAGCUUAGACAAAGGGGCCGGUCAACAAGAAGAAGAAUGUUUGCAUAGGAAGAAGCUGGAUUUAAGUGCUUGACUAAACAUGGACAAGGUCAAUGACAUGGAUUAUGAAGACUCAAGACUACUUGAAUGCAUCAGUGGACCGCCCUGGUAGUAGACUACUAGUGGAUUGAUCAAUGGCAUUAGAUGGGUUGAUAAUUAGAAUUUAACUGAUUUAUGGAUUGCAUUCGGAAUGUAACUGUCCUGGAAAGGCCAGUUAAGGGACCGGUGUUCAUGCUUAUCUUGACCCUUCUUUUAAUUAACGUCAUUACUUGAUAUAUGUUUUGCGUUGGCUCUAGUUUGUCUUAAACUAUAAUUAAUGAUUUAAUAAAUUAUGAUUUAGUUUC
This is a long non-coding RNA of Tigriopus californicus, 1337 nucleotides long. RefSeq lists it as uncharacterized. The transcript has 2 exons. Lineage: Eukaryota; Metazoa; Arthropoda; Copepoda; Harpacticoida; Harpacticidae. The record is from RefSeq and is a predicted model, not a curated record.